GAUGAACGCUAGCUACAGGCUUAACACAUGCAAGUCGCGGGGCAUCAUGGAGGUUGCUUGCAAUUUCUGAUGGCGACCGGCGCACGGGUGAGUAACGCGUAUCCAACCUUCCCAUUACUACGGCAUACCCCGUUGAAAGGCGGCCUAAUUCCGUAUGCAGUCCGAAGCAGUCAUCUAAUUUGGACGAAAGGUAUAUUCUAUCGGUAAUGGAUGGGGAUGCGUCCGAUUAGCCAGCCGGCGGGGUAACGGCCCACCGGGGCAUUGAUCGGUAGGGGUUCUGAGAGGAAGGUCCCCCACACUGGAACUGAGACACGGUCCAGACUCCUACGGGAGGCAGCAGUGAGGAAUAUUGGUCAAUGGGCGUAAGCCUGAACCAGCCAAGUAGCGUGCAGGAUGACGGCCCUAUGGGUUGCAAACUGCUUUUAUGCGGGGAUAAAGUUGGGGACGUGUCCCUUUUU
RNAcentral lists this ribosomal RNA (458 nucleotides) under Hoylesella oralis. Its description in RNAcentral is "bacterial SSU rRNA". It matches the Rfam family "Bacterial small subunit ribosomal RNA", at positions 28 to 471 of the family's 1533-position model. Lineage: Bacteria; Pseudomonadati; Bacteroidota; Bacteroidia; Bacteroidales; Prevotellaceae. The record is from RNAcentral.